This 281-nucleotide long non-coding RNA is filed under the name Mytilus galloprovincialis (Mediterranean mussel). The record is from RNAcentral. Lineage: Eukaryota; Metazoa; Mollusca; Bivalvia; Mytilida; Mytilidae.
CAAGAAUCAAAACUAUUAUACCUCCUUAGAGAGGACAAUUAUUUUUCGCGUUUCAUAUCAUGGUGUUUAGAUCGCAAGAACCACAACUAUUAUACCUCCUUAGAGAGGACAAUUAUUUUUCGCGUUUAUCUACAUGUAAAAGAGGGACGAAAGAUACCAAAGGGACAGUCAAACUCAUAAAUCUAAAACAAACUGACAACGCCAUGGCUAAAAAUGAAAAAAGACAAACAGAAAAACAAUAGUACACAUCACACAACAUAGAAAACUAAAGAAUAAACAAC